RNAcentral lists this ribosomal RNA (372 nucleotides) under uncultured organism. RNAcentral describes it as "bacterial SSU rRNA". It matches the Rfam family "Bacterial small subunit ribosomal RNA", at positions 526 to 896 of the family's 1533-position model. The record is from RNAcentral.
CGUAGGUGGCGAGCGUUGUCCGGAAUUACUGGGUGUAAAGGGCGCGUAGGCGGGAAUGCAAGUCAGAUGUGAAAUACCAAGGCUUAACCUUGGAACUGCAUCUGAAACUGUGUUUCUUGAGUGUCGGAGAGGAAAGCGGAAUUCCCCGUGUAGCGGUGAAAUGCGUAGAUAUGGGGAGGAACACCGGUGGCGAAGGCGGCUUUCUGGACGAUAACUGACGCUGAGGCGCGAAAGCGUGGGUAGCAAACAGGAUUAGAUACCCUGGUAGUCCACGCUGUAAACGAUGGAUACUAGGUGUAGGAGGUAUCGACCCCUUCUGUGCCGCAGUUAACACAAUAAGUAUCCCACCUGGGGAGUACGGCCGCAAGGCUG